AGGGCAAAUUAUCCAAUUGGCCCUUGAACUCUUUGCCUAGGUAAAAAUAAGCCCCUCAUCUAUUUUUUGCUGACUUUAAACCCUCGAACUUGUAAAAUUGGGUACCUGUGACCCUUUUAGCCAGUUUCUCCGGUUUUGCAACCGGGAGGCCAAUUCACACGAAUAUCAGUGUGCUUCUUCAAAGGGCAUUUUUGUCCGCAUUUCCUAAGCAAAAAGGGAACAACCCCCUUCUUUCCUCCAUUUCUGCAAAAUCCCCCCAACUUCUUCAGCUUUCCUU
RNAcentral lists this long non-coding RNA (277 nucleotides) under Coffea arabica (coffee). RNAcentral's name for it is "long non-coding RNA (CARA_LNC001277)". The record is from RNAcentral. Lineage: Eukaryota; Viridiplantae; Streptophyta; Magnoliopsida; Gentianales; Rubiaceae.